This 499-nucleotide ribosomal RNA is filed under the name uncultured bacterium. RNAcentral's name for it is "partial 16S ribosomal RNA". It matches the Rfam family "Bacterial small subunit ribosomal RNA", at positions 28 to 507 of the family's 1533-position model. The record is from RNAcentral.
GACGAACGCUGGCGGCGUGCUUAACACAUGCAAGUCGAACGGGCCCGCCCCUGUUUUUGGGGGUGGGUUGAGUGGCGAACGGGUGAGUAUCACGUGAGUAACCUGCCCCCUGCUCCUGGAUAACUGCUUGAAAGGGCGGCUAAUACGGGGUGUGCCGGCUGGUCCGCAUGGGCCUGGUCGGGAUAGUUUCAUCUUCGGGUGUUUCGGUGGGGGAUGGGCUCGCGGCCUAUCAGCUUGUUGGUGGGGUGAUGGCCCACCAAGGCGGUGACGGGUAGCCGGCCUGAGAGGGUGGGCGGCCACCCUGGGACUGAGACACGGCCCAGACUCCUGCGGGAGGCAGCAGUGGGGGGUAUUGCACAAUGGGCGGAAGCCUGAUGCAGCGACGUCGCGUGAGGGAUGGAGGCCUUCGGGUGGUGAACCUCUUUCUCCGGUGGUGAAGGCCCUGUCCGUUGCGGCGGGGUUGACGGUAGCCGGGUAUGAAGCGCCGGCUAACUACGUG